CUUCUGUAGGUGAUUGCUAGUGAGAAUUAGUGCAACUAUGGUAUCAAGGUGGAUAUAAAGUUGUUUUAUGCAGUACAACCACUUUUAUUGAGGAUCUGAGCUGAUUAACACUUGUUGUAAGCUGUCCUCCUUUCCUGUGUUUGCAGUGGCAUUUCAGUGUGCUAUAGUGACAUUCCCUGACUGCAUCUUCCAAGGACUAGACCCUCAGGAAUUUCAAAGAAACAUCCACCCAGUGGCCCUUGGGUUUGGCUGAACUAACGCUGAAGGACAAGACGGUGUAUCAUGGUGCUUGCAGGGAAGGAAAGCUCACCCAGCAUCUGGGAAGCCAUCACAAGAAUAUAAAUAGAAUAAUAUCCUGUUCAUGCAGCUCUGAGUAAUACAUGCUCCACAUCGCACAGAACGAUCACUGGCAGUAAUUAUAUGAAAAGUAUUCUGUGUGCGUGGGCUGAUCUCUCAGGCUGACUUCUGGAGACCGUGCAGCAA
Long non-coding RNA from Cygnus olor (mute swan), 483 nucleotides. RefSeq lists it as uncharacterized. The transcript is spliced from 4 exons. NCBI's taxonomy places the organism in Eukaryota, Metazoa, Chordata, Aves, Anseriformes, Anatidae. The record is from RefSeq and is a predicted model, not a curated record.